This 399-nucleotide ribosomal RNA is filed under the name uncultured bacterium. RNAcentral's name for it is "bacterial SSU rRNA". It matches the Rfam family "Bacterial small subunit ribosomal RNA", at positions 356 to 772 of the family's 1533-position model. The record is from RNAcentral.
GGGGAAUAUUGGACAAUGGGCGCAAGCCUGAUCCAGCAAUGCCGCGUGAGUGAAGAAGGCCUUCGGGUUGUAAAGCUCUUUUACCCGGGAAGAUAAUGACUGUACCGGGAGAAUAAGCCCCGGCUAACUCAGUGCCAGCAGCCGCGGUAAUACGGAGGGGGCUAGCGUUGUUCGGAAUUACUGGGCGUAAAGCGUGCGUAGGCGGCUUGGUAAGUUAGAGGUGAAAGCCCGGGGCUCAACCCCGGAAUAGCCUUUAAGACUGCUUCGCUUGAACGUCGGAGAGGUGAGUGGAAUUCCGAGUGUAGAGGUGAAAUUCGUAGAUAUUCGGAAGAACACCAGUGGCGAAGGCGGCUCACUGGACGACUGUUGACGCUGAGGUGCGAAAGCGUGGGGAGCAAA